ACGUAGGGGGCAAGCGUUGUCCGGAAUUAUUGGGCGUAAAGCGCGCGCAGGCGGCUCGUUAAGUCUGGUGUUUAAACCUGGGGCUCAACCCCGGGUCGCAUCGGAAACUGGCGGGCUGGAGUGUAGGAGAGGGAAGUGGAAUUCCUGGUGUAGCGGUGAAAUGCGCAGAUAUCAGGAAGAACACCAAUGGCGAAAGCAGCUCUCUGGGACGGUACUGACGCUGAGACGCGAAAGCGUGGGGAGCGAACAGGA
This 252-nucleotide ribosomal RNA is filed under the name uncultured prokaryote. RNAcentral's name for it is "partial 16S ribosomal RNA". It matches the Rfam family "Bacterial small subunit ribosomal RNA", at positions 525 to 777 of the family's 1533-position model. The record is from RNAcentral.